GAUUGAACGUCUGUCGAGCUUGCUCACAGGCACAUCAUAUCCAUAACACCUGUGCACUUGUCGGAUGGCUUAGUGAAGACCGCAAGGUUGGAUCUAUCCAUCUACUUUACAUAACAAUUCUGUAACAAAUGUAGUCUUAUUAUAACAUAAUAAAACUUUCAACAACGGAUCUCUUGGCUCUCGCAUCGAUGAAGAACGCAGCGAAAUGCGAUAAGUAAUGUGAAUUGCAGAAUUCAGUGAAUCAUCGAAUCUUUGAACGCACCUUGCGCUCCUUGGUAUUCCGAGGAGCAUGCCUGUUUGAGUGUCAUGAAAACCCUCAACCCUAGAUUGGUUAAAACCUUUCUUUGGUUUGGAUUUGGACGUUUGCCGAUGAUAAGUCGGCUCGUCUUAAAAGUAAUAGCUGGAUCUGUCUCGCGACAUGGUUUGACUUGGCGUAAUAAGUAUUUCGCUAAGGACAUCUUCGGAUGGCCGCGUUGCAGGACUAAAGACCGCUUUCUAAUCCAUUGAUCUUACGAUUAAUAUUCUUGACAUCUGACCUCAAAUCAGGUAGGAG
Molecule: ribosomal RNA, 553 nt
Filed under: Naganishia adeliensis
Lineage: Eukaryota; Fungi; Basidiomycota; Tremellomycetes; Filobasidiales; Filobasidiaceae
Description: eukaryotic LSU rRNA
Rfam family: 5.8S ribosomal RNA (bases 154-307)
Source: RNAcentral